UGGUUUUGCGGUGGGGUGUUGCACACAUGGCCAAGAGACAGUCGUGGUUCUUCACAACUUCAUUUGGAUCACAGACAGUCAGAAUGAAGCGUGUUGUUGUGGUGUUUCUGCUGCCGCUCCUGGGCCUGUUGCAUGCUGGGCCGCUGCUCGAUGAGCCCGUCCUCCAGCCCCAGGAGAACUUUGAUGUGAACCGGGACGUGCUAUGCAGCUGCGGCCCACUCUCAUCGAAGACUUCAAGACUCUGGUGGCUGAGCAGGGAAUGAGUGAAGACACUAUAGUAAUCAAAAAGAACAAAGGUGAAUGUGUUCCAGGUGAGCAGGUCACACCAGAGCCACAGAUCCAGGUGAAGACCUCAGCACACACACCAUAAACUAAAACACUUACAUUUGAGCUAAAAGCUAA
Molecule: long non-coding RNA, 402 nt
Filed under: Sinocyclocheilus anshuiensis
Lineage: Eukaryota; Metazoa; Chordata; Actinopteri; Cypriniformes; Cyprinidae
Description: lncRNA (ENSSANG00000016833.1)
Source: RNAcentral